RNAcentral lists this long non-coding RNA (400 nucleotides) under Nicotiana benthamiana. RNAcentral describes it as "long non-coding RNA (NBEN_LNC041398)". Lineage: Eukaryota; Viridiplantae; Streptophyta; Magnoliopsida; Solanales; Solanaceae. The record is from RNAcentral.
CUAUAUUUUUCCCUUCCUUCAGAUUCAAAGUGGCCAGCUGUUCAGAUGUUGGAGUGGUUAACAUUAUUUUCUUCUUAGAAAUCCUUGGCCUGGACACAUCUUUUUCUCUGUCACCACCUGUGUUAUUUGAAAUACUUUUAGCAUCAGAAUUUACAUCUACAUGCGCGGACGAGCCAGAACUUCUCUGGCUUUUUGAUCUCUUAAAAGAAAAAGACCACGAUCUCCAGCUCGCACAUCUUUUUCUCUGUCACCACCUUUGUUAUUUGAAAUACUUUUAGCAUCAGAAUUUACAUCUUCAUCCGCGGACGAGCCAGAACUUUUCUGGCUUUUUGAUCUCUUAAAAGGAAAAGACCACGAUCUCCAGCUCCUACUUGAUAAAUUAUUGGAUCUGGCAUCUCUU